Molecule: long non-coding RNA, 11637 nt
Filed under: Olea europaea subsp. europaea
Lineage: Eukaryota; Viridiplantae; Streptophyta; Magnoliopsida; Lamiales; Oleaceae
Source: RNAcentral
CAACCUUUAUUUUUUUAGAAAAAGCGAAAUAAGAAAUUAGGCGUGAAUUGUAAAUCAUCGAAUUUUGUAUUUCAAAUCCAUACAGCCUUUUCCACUCCCCAUUUGUAGGGUUUCCAUUUUUUCUCUUUAUUCUCCUAGACCAGAGGCUAACGUACAUAUUUGCUUUCGCAAGAUUUUUCUAGAUUGGUUUAUCGGGUAUUGGAUUCUCACUAUGCUAAGGCUGCAAAUUUAGAACCCUUGUUAUCUAAUUGUGAUUGUAUAUUUAAAAGAAUGUUGCAGUUGAUCGUAUUGCAUUAUUUUUUUUUCUUAUUAUGAUCUGAAUUGUUCUUUUAUAUCGAUCUCCGUUUUUUAUUAUUUUGUGGAAAGAAUAAGCUAAUUAUUACCCACAAUUUAUUCUUUGCAGGCCCAAAUUCUUAGGUUUAGCAUUGAAUAUUGCAUGUAAGGUUGAAAAUUUUAGGAUUCUGUGUCUGGUUUAGCUAGAGAUGAGUGCGUUGGGGUUUGAUAUUGGAAAUGAGAACUGUGUGAUAGGAGCGGCUAUGCAACGUGGAAUUGAUGUAUUGCUAAAUGAUGAAUCAAAGCGGGAAACUCCGUCUGUGGUUUCAUUUGGUGAAAAGCAGAGGUUUAUGNUUAUUAUUAUUAUUAUUUUUUACAAUACUGUAAUAUGCAAACAUUACAUUGUUCGGUCUUCAACAAAGAACUCAAAAAAUGUUAGACAAUAAAGGGAUCGGACAACCUAGGUUCACAGAAGAAAAAAUGGAGGUUUUCAUGACAUCGCCGAUAGGUAUAAGAAAAUUACUUAAUAAAACAAGUUACUAAUAUCUAGGAAAACAAAAUCGAAGAACAACAACUUGAGUAAAAAUCGAGAGAUAUCAUAAGACAGAGCACAAUUAUCCUAGCAACGUUUCCCUUCAAUUAGUGACCUUCUAUGAAUUAAAGAUUAAAGGAGAUUGUCAACUAUUAAAAAAAAAUAAAAAGAUUGAAGGAGAUUGUCACGACUCAUCCUAUGAGGCUCUACUCACUUUCUACGUGAUAGUCAAUUGACAAAUUGCCUCAGACCCACACUUCACAUUAUCGAUUUACCUGACAUAAUCGAGGCCAUCAAAUAGAGACGGUAGAAGUAAUGCCGUCAACAAAUAAACCUGCACAAGGAUCAUCAAUCAAAAACUGCAAACAAAAGUAGAUGUAGCAAUCACUUUGCCACCUCUAUGGGGCCUCAUUUCAUCAAUAUGUGUCUUUCGUCCAUUGUAUUGCUUAAUGUUCCCCGCGCUGAAUGCACCAAGCAUAGUUAUUAAUUCUGGAAGUUUGAUUGGAAAUCAAAGAAUCGGACCUUGUUUUGAUCAAUAUAUUUGGAUCGUUUUACUAUUGAACUAUCGAUGACCCACUUGAAGAAUUAAGCAGCUGAAGUAAAAACUACCCGAUAGCCCACUAGAUAUUUUUAAAAUUUAGCAAAAUGCAUUAUCCAUGUCUCGAGCAAAAGACCAUGGAAAACGUACCUUUCUCCGAUUGAGCUACCAUCACCAUGUUGAAAAUCACGUUAACAUAUUUUUCUCCUAGAAACAUAUCUUAUAAUUGACUAAAUUACAUAAAAUAUUUUCAAAAUUUUGAAUAUUACGCUUACAAAAUGUUUAGCCCUUGUUUGAUUUUAUUAAAAAUUAUAAAUUUAGUAAAUUUUAAUGAAAUUUAUGAUUGAAAAGUUAACAAAAAUUGUUGAUGUCAUGAAAUAUGUACUUAAAAUUAAUUGUUGAUCUUGAUUUAAAUUUUAUUAACUGUUUAGCUAAAUCAAAACGUGGGCUCAUUUUUUCAAGUGUAUUAAUUAUUAAACAUGCUAUAUUUUUCAUUGCCAAAUUUAAAAUAUAAUGAACAGAAUUUUCAGAAAAAAAGAAAAUAAAUAAAGUGCUGAAUAUUCAUACAAAUAAAUUAUUUAAAUAUUAAAGAAAACAUGAAAAACAUGUAUAGAUCAUUGAUUUAAUUUUUAUAAAAUAGAUAGAAUUUUAGAAUGUAUAUUAUUUCAAUUAUCAAAUGAAUUUGCAAAUUAGGACAUUUUUUUCCUUUUAUCUUCACUUAUUGAACCGCUCACUCAUUGUGUCUACAGUCGAGUGAAUGGGUCGAGUCUGAUAACUAUGAGCUAAAAAUAAUCAAACAUUACAUGGCCAUGGAUACAUUUUUUGCUGUGUGCACGUUUCUUAAAUUGAACAUUGACUCUUAACAACGGAUAUCACAACUCUCGCGAUAAAGAGAAAAAGCAAAAUAAGAAAUUAGGCGUGAAUUGUAAAUCAUCGAAUUUUGUAUUUCAAAUCCAUAAGCCUUUUCCACUCCCCAUUUUUAGGGUUUCCAUUUUUUCUCUUUAUUCUCCCAGACCAGAGGCUAACAUACAUAUUUGCUUUCGCAAGAUUUUUCUAGAUUGGUUUGUCGGGUAUUGGAUUCUCACUAUGCUAAGGCUGCAAAUUUAGAACCCUUGUUAUCUAAUUGUGAUUGUAUAUUUAAAAGAAUGUUGCAGUUGAUCGUAUUGCAUUAUUUUUUUUUCUUAUUAUGAUCUGAAUUGUUCUUUUAUAUCGAUCUCCGUUUUUUAUUAUUUUGUGGAAAGAAUAAGCUAAUUAUUACCCACAAUUUAUUCUUUGCAGGCCCAAAUUCUUAGGUUUAGCAUUGAAUAUUGCAUGUAAGGUUGAAAAUUUUAGGAUUCUGUGUCUGGUUUAGCUAGAGAUGAGUGCGUUGGGGUUUGAUAUUGGAAAUGAGAACUGUGUGAUAGGAGCGGCUAUGCAACGUGGAAUUGAUGUAUUGCUAAAUGAUGAAUCAAAGCGGGAAACUCCGUCUGUGGUUUCAUUUGGUGAAAAGCAGAGGUUUAUGGGAACGGCUGGGGCUGCCUCUGCUACCACGAACCCGAAAUCCACCAUUUCUCAGGUUAAAAGAUUGAUUGGACGGAAAUAUAGCGAGCCCAGUGUGCAGGAUGACCUUAAACUGUUACCUUUCGAUACUUCCGAGGAUCCUGAUGGGGGCAUUUUGAUAAAUUUAAAUUAUAUGAACGAGAAACAGACCUUUACACCGGUUCAGAUUCUAGCAAUGCUGUUUGCCCACUUAAAGCAGAUCGCAGAGAAGAAUCUUGAGAUAUCCAUUUCUGAUUGUGUGAUUGGUGUGCCAUCGUACUUAACGGACAUGCAGAGACGUGCAUAUUUGAAUGCUGCAGAGAUAGCCGGCUUGAAGCCAUUAAGGUUGAUGCACGACUGUACAGCUACUGCUCUGGGAUACGGUAUAUACAAGACAGACUUCCCAAGUGGAGGUCCGGCAAAUGUUGUGUUUGUGGAUAUUGGUCAUUGUGAUAUGCAGGUUUCUGUUGCAUCAUUUGAACCUGGGCAUAUGAAAAUAUUAUCUCAUGCUUCUGAUAGCGACUUAGGGGGAAGAGACUUCGAUGAGGUCCUGUUCAGGUAUUUUGCUGCACAAUUCAAGGAACAAUACAACAUUGACGUUUAUUCUAAUUCUCGAGCAUCUUUAAGGCUGAGAGUGUCAUGUGAAAAAUUGAAGAAAGUCUUGAGUGCUAAUCCAGAGGCACCGCUUAAUAUUGAGUGCUUGAUGGAAGAGAAGGAUGUCAAGGGAUUCAUUAAGAGAGAGGAUUUUGAGAACCUGUCAUCGGAAUUACUGGAAAGGAUUAGCAUUCCGUGUCGUAAGGCUUUGCUUGACUCUGGUUUGACUCUUGAGAAGAUCCAUGCAGUUGAGCUUGUUGGAUCAGGUUCUCGAAUACCAGCCAUUUCGAAGAUAUUGAACUCACUGUUUGGGAAAGAACCUAGCCGGACUGUAAAUGCAAGUGAGUGCGUGGCUCGUGGUUGUGCCCUUCAAUGUGCAAUGCUUAGUCCCAUAUUCCGAGUAAGAGAGUAUGAGGUAUGUGUUUCAGUUAUCAACUCAGUCAAAAUUAUUUCCAUCAGUAUAUCUUUCAUGGAUAUCCCACGUUUCCCUGAAAACUUGUUUUAGUUUUCAUUGCAAAUAACAGAAAAUUUAAUCAUUAGAUCUGACAAUGGUCAAUAAGUUGGUCGUUUCUCUAACAUGUCCUUUUGAUCACUUUGAAGUGCUAUAUAACUGAAUAAUGUGAGUUAUGGAUCAACCUUUGCUGUCGUUUUUGGAAGCCUUUGAAGAUAUAACUCAAUUACGCAUUACGACUAGAACUCCUACUCUUUAAGGGGACCAAAGAAUCUAGGCAGCAAACGAGACUAGCAAAUCCAAAACUAUGUCAGCCACUGGUUACCAUGUACUAAAAAAGUCCAGCUCCUGGACAAACUACUUUUGUGUGUGCGCCCAAACACCUGUAAGAUAAAAUGAUAUGAUUCAAUAGCUGACUAGACCUUGAAGUUCUCUUUCAAGUUCUAAUAGUAUCUUCAUGAUGGAUACGCGAUACUGUGGGGCUUGUAAUGAUCAGUUGCCAUAUACUUUAUCUUCCAUAACACAUUCUUAAAACUAAUGACCCUAGAGAUGAUUGUGACUGUGCUAUAGAUUUUUAGUAAUGCACCAUUUAAAAUGUAGCAAACUAGUACGCAUUUGUAAGAUAUAAAUUUGAUGUGUAUAAUUUCUUGGAUAUGAUAGUUGAUCUUUUCUAUUAUUGUUAUGCCUACAAACAAAUUUAUAUGGAAUUUGUGUAAGAAAUUGAUGGAGUAUUAAAUGCUGGUUCUCAUGUUGCGAGCAGAGGAAAACUUCAUGUGAUGAAAUGUCAUGAAUGUAUACACAAUUGUUUUCUUAUAUAUUGUUCUAGAAAAUUUUUACUUGUUCACUUGUAAGUCAAAUAUUUGUUAGGUUAAAAAAAGAAAUUGAUGACAGAUUGAAAUUUUUGCACCAAAACAUUAAUUUUCAGAGGGAAAUUAUUGAUAAUAUCAUAAGUGCGUCAUGCAAUAAUUCAAUCUAUAGAUCAGAUAAUAUCAAAAGUAUGUCAUUUAAUAAUUCAAUACAUAGAUGAAACAACCACUUUUGGUGAAAAAUGCUCGAUAAUAAAUAUAAUUUGCAAUUUUUAUCAAAGAAAAUUGUUGUUUCUUUGCCUAUAUCAUCGUGGUUUAUUAUAAUUAUGGCCAUAACUUUUAGUGGGUACCAUUUGUCAUGUUUUUCGUAUUGACAUCGAAGAGCUGUAGAUUUAGGGCCUGUUUGGAAACGAUGUUUUCUCCCAAAAAAUUGAUUUUUUUACCUUUAUUUCACUAUUCCAGCCGUCAUAUUUGACUUCUUCUCUAACAGGUGGACCUCAUUUUUCUCCUAACGAUCAAAAAAUCAAUUUUCAAAAUCACUUUCAAACAGGCUAUUAAUGAAUUUUUUGAAGAAGAUACUAUUUACGAAACUUUUCAAUAUGGUGUUUGCCUGGUAAGUGUCCAAUCUAUGUAGUUCAAACAAUUUAGAAAGACCUUUUGGCUCAGUUGUGCACUCUUGUUCCUAAGAGCAUUUUUAAGAGACUCUCAUUCUAUAAUUUAGAGAGUAUCUAUAAAUUUAGAGAGUAAAAAUUUUGGAGGACUCCAAAAGGCUUUUUAUAUUUAAUACUUAAUUUUAUUACUUCCAAAAAAUAUUUAUUAUUUUUCUUUAUCUUUUAUUUUAACUAACUUUUCUUUAUCUUUUAUUUUAACUAACUUUUAACUUUUCUCUUUAAAGUAGGGAGCAUCCAUAUCUAAAGAGUCUCUUAGAGAUGCUCUAAGAGAUUGGUUUUUCUGUACAUGAAUCUUAGGAAACAACUCUGAAUUAGCUUCCCAAAAUACCCCUACAACAACACCCCAACACCCACUUACCAUGUUCACUUGCCCAUACAAACCGUAACCACCUAAAACGAAAAAAUAGUCUGUUGCUGCACUAUUUGGUUAAAUGUGAUAACUAGUUUGUUGAUCCAUGAGCUGUAGCUCCUUUUGAAAAAGUACGAGAUAAUAGGAGCAUGGAUGGGACCACUCUAGCCAUUAUCUGAUAGAUGACCCAUUCAUUUCUUUAUAAUGAAUGUCAAUCUGUAAAGCCAAGAAUAAAGAUCUCACUUGAGAGAGAAGUAGCUUAAUCAUGUUGUUCUUCAGCACCUCGAGAUCCUUUAUACUGAAUGGAAAAGUAAAUAUCUUCACAAAUAAAAUGUUCCUGAAUGCAUUUGUAGGGAUAUUGCUCAAUUAUUUUUCCCUUACAUUUGACAGUUUGCAUCUUUCGUUUGCAGGUGCAAGAUUCAUUUCCAUUUUCUAUUGGAUUUGCUUCUGAUGAAGGGCCGAUCUGCACAGUGACAAAUGACACGUUGUUUCCUAAGCUGCAUCCUUUUCCAAGUCUAAAGAUGCUUACUUUGCACCGAAGUGGCACAUUUCACAUGGAAGCCUUUUACACGAACCAGAAUGAGUUGCCUUCAGGUGUAUCUACAAGAAUCAGCUCUUUUACGGUAUAUAUGGAUUACUUUGUGCAGUUUUCUUCUACGGUUUCUGCACCUAGAGUUGACCAAUGUGCAAACUUGACCUGAAACACAACUCUUCCCUGUAAGGGGAAAAGUUAUUUUUCCUUCUUUGGAUUUCAAACCUUGGAUAGUUCACCAUGUGGUCUUGGCUUUAAUUUGCAGAAGAUAAUUGCUCAGAAACAUUGCACAUUUGAAAAAAAACCUUUAUAAGGAAUAUCUUUAUUCUGGAUCAUUAAUUUUAACAAAUAACAUAUUGUCAUGAUACAUUGUUAUCAAGAAAACAGAGAUCUAAACCAAUUGUAUUAUAGAUGAAAAUCAAAUAAAUUUUUCGUAUAAAUGGGGAAAUUAUUUAAUAAAUUAGUUAUUUGAAGGUACCAUGGAUGUUUGGGGAUUAUCAAACUCUAGUGUAGAUAUAAUGUUACUACAUUAAUCUGGUCUCAUAAGUGAAAGGUAGCACCUUUGAAGACGAUGAAAUUAGAAAACCAAUUGAUUCGUACAGAAUUCCUAUUGAAGUUUGAGCUUUCCAUUUUUCCCGUCUUGCAUAAAUUUCUUUGAAUUAAUUAUUGUAAGGCUUUUAUUGUUGCUUGACUUCUAUUUUGAAACAAACUACUUCUUUUUUCUUUUUCUUUUUCUUUUCCUUUUCUUUUUUAGAUUGGUCCAUUCAAAGUUCCUCAUUUGGAAAAGAUGAAGAUUAAAGUAAGAGUCAACUUAAACCUCCAUGGAAUUGUUACCAUAGAGUCUGCUUCGGUAGGUAUAAGUUAUAUUUGUAAUUCUUUGAAGUUUAUCAAGUUAUUAGGGACUAUGGAAAAUGAGAUGCCUAUUUUUAGUGUAAGCUGUACUGUCUUGGCAGCUGGUGGAGGUUAAUUCGAAUGAUUCUACUAAGAAGAAUGAUGGCACUCUCUCAGACAAGAUGGAGCCAACCAAACAAGAAUCUUCCAGCAAAGCAAAUGGGGCUGCUGUAAGUUCAGUUAAAACAAAUGAUCUUUCAAAAUUUUCAUUAAUUGUCAAGUUGGAUCAUUUAAAGCUCUCCACUAUGUUUGAGAGAGAAAAUGUUGGCUUGCUUGAUAUUAAAUGUAGCACUAAUUACUGUGCUUUGACCCUUAAGAAUUUCUGCUAUUUAUCUUGUUCACAAGACCACCCUUACACAACUUUUCAAGAUUGUAGCUUGUGAUGCUCGGACUCUCCAUUCCGGUCGGAGUACCCAUAUCGACACGAUACAAGUACGGGUAUGAAAUAUGGGGCGUAUACAACACUUUUCAACUUGGACCUUGCUGGAUGGAUAGUCCAGGGCGCGGGGCCCACAGGCACCCCCUCCAAUAGGAGGGUGCCAAUUAGGCCCCCUAUUUGGAUAGGGCCUACGUGGCCUUGUCUAAGAAGAUUUGUCCUUUCAACUUGACACAACAGGAUGGAGAAUGGCAUCUAGGUCUUCCCUUCUUCUUUCCUUUUUUCUUUUCCUUUUCUUCUCUCCUGUUUCUGCUCUUCGGAGGGAGGGGGAGGUUCGGUGGCGUCAUAACCAAGGAAGAAGAGGCCUCAGGCGGCGUGGCUGAAGCAUGUGGAGGGUCGGAGUAGAGAGAAGGAAGAGAAAAUCGAAGAGAGAGAAAGUGAAUGGAAAAUAAUGACCUUCUAGGUUAAUAACUGGUCUUUUAUUAGGCUUCAAGGUUAAUAAUAGACUUUUAUUUCUAUGCAUGUAGACUUAUGAUUUACAACUUUGUUUGGCUCAUUUAUUUUUUAUUUAAAAAAAAAUAAAAUCUUAAAACUUAUUAUUAAUUUUUGAAAGUAUAUAUUUAUACAAUAACUUAUUAUUUUAGUAUAAAUUUUUAGUUAAUUUUAAGCGACAUGUUCUAUUUUUUAACAAUUGUCAUUUAGUUAUCAUUUAACUAUUUACAUGUGAAUUGUUGAAGAAAAAAUUGAAGUUUGAGAGAUGCACCGAAAUUUGGACUCUUUUCAGCUAUGUCUCUGUAUCCUACAUUUCAGAAAAUAAAAAAUCCAACACUUAAAUACUUACCCAUACCCGAGCUCGAGCAUCAAAGAAGCUUCCUCAAUUUUGAAUUAUAAACCAUAGCUUUCCUCAAUUUUGAAUUAUAAACCACUGACUUGUAUAUGUAAUGUUAACUAACAUUUUUAUGCUCAUCUGAACUAAGGGGGAAAAAAGAGAGAGAAACUUCAUUUAAAAAUACAUCAACUCUGUGCAUGUUGAGUAAGAUUUGCAAAUGCUUAUCAUUGUCUUGUUAGUUGGCAAAAUUUUGUUACACUCUUAUUCCAUGCUUAAUAUUUCAGCACAUAAUCACACUGGUUCAUUGGUGAUCCCCUGUGGUUAAUCCAUUUUAGAAGGGCUCAGAAUAAACUGUGAUCCAACUUCCAAGCAAACCAGACUAGUUAUUGCCAUCAUUAACAUUUUCUUUUGGACUCAAGCAAUCUGAACUUCCUUGUUUUGCCAUCAUGUUUCCUUAAGUGGCUUUCUACCCUUAAAACUCUCAUAUUUCCUUCUUUACAAGGUUUAUUUGGCACUUAACCAUCACAUUCUACGUCAAGUUAAUGACUCCAUCUUUAUCCAGUUUACUCUUCUUCGAACCUUAAAGUAACAUAAGUUCAUCCCUUUAUUUUCCACCAUCUAGUUAUAUAAUCUUUUACCUUUUUACUCUCUUCCCUUCUUUUCUUAAUGACCACAUCAAGCAUCACUAAGCUAUGUUUCAUAGUUAGGCUUUUGCAAGACACCCAUCUUAUGAGAAUGAAAUCUAUUUUUCUAUGCUUUUGCCUAUUAUUAGCUAACAAGUGAAAUUCUUUCUUUCUGAAGCAAGUAUUCACUAAUAUUAAAUCACAAGCCAUCAUAAAAUACGGAAAAGUGAUGCCUUCUACAUUCUAUGUUUCAAAUCUAAAAUUUCCAUGAGGCGUUUCGUAAUCGUAAUUACCUUUUCCACAUGUAUGCUGGAAAUCCAAAGCACUGGUAUCUCCUUGUGCAGGCUGUCACACGGCAUGAUAUAACCAUUGACGAGAAUAUAUAUGGCGGAAUGACACCCCACGAACUCUCUCAAGCCCAAGAAAAAGAGCUUCAGUUGGCCCAGCAAGACAUAAUGAUGGAGAGGACUAAAGAUAAGAAAAAUUCACUGGAGUCUUAUGUAUAUGAAGCGCGAAAUAAGGUACAAAUUUAUGCUUUACCUGGGAUAAAAUCAUUUAACCUGAUUUUAUUAUUUAUGGUAUAACAACUUAAUCUGAGGAAAAAAAAUGUCAGUGCCACACUGACACUACAAGUAGAAAACUUUUUAUGGUUUUGUGUCAUAUAGAAGUUAUCACCAGCAAUGCCAUAGUAACUUGGGCAUUCCUUGAUGCUCAUUUUUUCCAAAAACCUACAUGGUGCACUAUUUGAGGGAAAAUAGCUGGAUCUGAAAUUCAAAAACAACAGCAGGGCAAUUUAAGCAAUAGAAUGAUCAAUGUGUAAACCCACUUCUAUUAUUUCGGCUGCUGCUUCAUUUGAAGCAUGCAGUAACUGGCAUAUUGUUAGAGACGCCUUUUCACCUUUCUUUAAUAUUGUGAACUCUGUUCUAGUAGUUAUAAUUGCAGUCAUCCUUUCAUGUAGAUUUUGACGAAUUCUGAUGAUUUUGGUAAUUAAAGUUUUGGGUUUUUUAGAUGCCGAAGUUUCUUUACUUGUCCUUCUUUUGAAAUCAUUAAUGUAAAAGAUUUUCAAGAUUCCCAAAACUAUGUCCUUGUCUUUCAGUCUGAUAUCUCGAGCGUGGCAUUCUAUAAUGUGGAAAGUGAAUUGUAGUUCAGUUCAUUGCCUUUAGUGUUUCUUACAUCUUUAAGAAUGAGUAAAAACAUUUGAACAGAUUUUAAACGAGUAUAGAAGCUUUGCAACUGAUUUAGAAAGGGAAGGGAUCUCCAAUAAUUUACAACAAACUGAGGAAUGGCUCUAUGAAGACGGAGAUGAUGAGUCUGAAAGUGUUUAUACAGAGAAAUUAGAGGAUCUGAAAAAGGUUCUUUUGACUUCCUGUUUAGAGUACUCAAGUUUAUACUUCUUUUGAGAUUUAUAGACAGCCAACACUGGAAAAAAAUAAAAAUAAAUAAAAAUUAAUAAAAUUGUUCAUUAGAUUGUGGAUCUUGUUGAACAUCGAUACAAAGAGGAAGAAGCCAGGGCACAGGCAACCAGAAGUCUACUAAACUGCGUAGUGGAGUAUCGCAUGGCUGUAGGAUCACUUCCACCCAGCGAAAGAGAUGUACGUUCCCUUCUUGUAUGAUUUUUUUUUUUUUUUAAUAUGAUUAGCCGAAAGAGUAAUUAUGUGGUGACUUUUAUUUUGCAGGUCAUUGAUGAAUGCAAUAAAGCAGAGCAGUGGCUUCGAGAAAAAACCCAAGAGCAGGAUUCAUUACCCAAAAAUGCAGAUCCAAUACUCUUGUCAAGUGAAAUCAAGAGGAAAGCCGAGGCUCUGGAAGCGUAUGUCUCUGAACUUAUUGAUCGUAGUCAAUUGCUUUGCAACUCAGUUUAUAUAUAUUUGGACCAACCAAAAAUGAUUAAAAUGUUCUGUAAAAUCAAUGUUGAACAUGCCUGUUGCAAUGUUAAUUAGAAAUUUCUCCUCACGGUUGAGUACUGUGUACUGUGUCAAGUGCUUUACUGAGUUUCUAUAUUUCUGUUAUUGCUUAUUUCCAGUGAAAUGUGAAUGCUGUUAAUUUCACGAAAUUCAUUUUCAGGAUUUGCAGACAUACAUUGGCGUCCAAGUCUUCAUCUGCAAGGCCCGAGGAAAACAGAGAAUCAGAGACGAGAGAUCCAACGGAUGAUAUUCAUGCUGAUUGAUGUGAAUCUAGCAAGAUUGUGAUACUAAAAGAGCUGGAGUACUAGAAACAGCUAGAUCAAUCACCGCAGGAUUAAUUUGGAUAUAAUUCUUAAGACUACUCACUGCAAGCUGUCAUUCUCGCACGGAACUCGUAAGUUAUUAUUCUUAGUUUUUAUUUUCUGUUAUAUGUUAAUUUUCCUCUGAGAUAGAAUAGUGUGCUAAUUCAACCCAAGUUACAGACACUUGUAUACUACUACUCUCUCUACUGUCCCCCUACAACAGUUCUUACAGUACAUUCAACACGGGUCAAUUCCUUGACGCUGUAAUAGAAGUUAGAGUCCUCCAUAUUUAAGCACCCUUGAUGGAUGUAGAACAGAAAAAUUCUCCUCAAGGGAUUAGUGGCUUGACAUUUUUAUCUUCAUGGCUGCAUUUUGCUUCUUCAACCAUGUCUUCUAAUUUAGCAUAUUCCACCAACUGUUCAAAUUCUGUUAUAAUAACAAUUUCUUUUCG